Long non-coding RNA from Astatotilapia calliptera (eastern happy), 2234 nucleotides. NCBI's taxonomy places the organism in Eukaryota, Metazoa, Chordata, Actinopteri, Cichliformes, Cichlidae. The record is from Ensembl.
UGUAACAGUGUUUAUGUGGUAUUAUUCCACUUGCCACAAAUGUCAGUGUAAUGGGGAAACAGCGCCCCCCCCUCUCGGUGUGGCUGGUUAGGUGAGGCUGGCUGCAGUAAUCGCUGCCAGUCUGCCGUAGCCAUACGAGAGUGUGCUGUGCGGAGUGGUGUAUGGCGAGCCUGUGCACUGAUAAUACACCGUUGUUUCCAUUCAGUUGUUACCCAACUCCGUUUGAAUUUGGAGUCACAGUAAUCUUCUGCACCUGAGCAUUGAAAGAAAAACUGUGAGAGAAAACUUCGUCAAGAAAGAGAGGUGACUGAGCAAUGGAGAAGCUGGAUGAUGUAACAGUAUCUGUCCUUAAAGCUGCAAGCAUUGACGAGCGCAUGCUUUUAACAUUGACCCGUGAUGAUCUGAGGGACCUUUUUUCUGGGCCUGAGCACUUUCUCAGAAGAAAACAUGUGUGGUCAAUAAUUCAUCCUGAGGAAGACCAUCCGCUACCACAGAAACCUGAAACAACUUCUUCACCCAGGGUAGUUGCAACAGGCCCUCCAACUGCUGAUGCUAAUGUAAGCCAGCUGAAAACCUUGCAGCUCCCCAGUCCUCCGGAAUAUGUUCUGUACACCGACAGUGAGUUGGAGCAAUGCCGAAAGAGUUACCUGGAGUUGGCCUGCUCCGGCAGGGAACAGGCAUGCGUCAUGUCAAAAGAACUGAGAUGCAGAUUGGUGAGAAAUACAAUCACAAGUAUGGUGUCCCUUUUGAGAGCAAGCCAAGGCCAAAUGGAGCGAUACCCCUCUAAGACCGAAAUCACUGCAAUGGCUAAAAAAGUUGUGGAAUAUUAUCCUAUGCUGCAGGAUAAUGAUGCAAGCGUAAAACACGAGAGCAUUAAUGCCAAGUUACAAAAAAGGCUGCAAAAUAUGAAAACCCCAGUAAAAAGGCAAGGACCAACACCGGAGAGGGGACGGCCCAAGAGAAGGCUCACUGACCUCUACCCAAGGGAUGAAGAAGCUGAUGAUGAAGAUGCUGAUCGCAGUUCUUCCAGUGGUGCAUCUACUCUGUUAUCACCUGUCAGAAAUUCUGACAAUGCCUCCACUUCAUCUGACAAGGAUAGUCGGCAAAUACAAGCAAGACAUUACAAAACAUUACAAGAAAUGUGUAAGAAGGCAAAACCAAACCAAGAAGAUGUGUCCCAGCUAUUAGACCUCGAGUUUGAAGCCAGAAGAUCCUUCAUUGACUCAGACACCAUGAAAGAGGAGAACAGAGCUUGCCUCAUCUUGGAUGCAUAUCCAUGCUUUAAAGAAUUGCAUCAUGCGUUGGGUGAGCUUCGCAGAAUUUUGGAUCCCCACAACAACAAGUUCAUCAGUCAAGUAAAACUGAGAUGGGAAGAAUUCUGCUCCAGGGUAGAGUUCUACGGUGUGUCAAAGAAGGCAAUGAAUCCACCAAUGACCAUGGACAAAACUGAAGCCCACCUUGCACUGAUGAAGGCUCUUCCAACCCUCUUUCCCACACCUGCCCAUCCACCAAAGAAGAUGGGGAAUGCUUCUGAAGCAUUUCUACAUGUCCUGAAGCCUACAGAAGAUCCAGAUGCUGUCCUCCAGAAACGAAGCUUGUCAUGUCCAGUAGUGAUGUUCGAUGGCUGCAAGUGUGUCAUUGCUGUUGGUAAUUUACCAGUUACAACAUUUGACAAAGAAAAAAUUGGUGAGGCUAUGAUAUAUGUGAUGGCAUACUUUUAUGCACUCCAUCUGACUUACCACAAAUGCGUGGCAACCCUGCUGUCUGUCAUUCAGACAGAAGUUCUCCAGGAUGCCAUUCAUGAGCAUGACACUACAUCAUCUUACAGAAAAGCCCUGGCAGAAUGGCAUGCAUUUAUUGGAAAGUAGUGUGUAAAUUUCAGAUAAGAUUAGGAGAGGGCACUUCUGUUUUGUUUUUGUUUGUUUUUUCAAUCUGGGUCUUAUUUCUAAAAUGGAAAAUGUUCAUUUACUCACCCAGACAAGUUUUGUGGUAUUUGGUGUCAUUCGGAAGAAAUUUGAAUCUUUGUGGUCUUCCUAUGUCACUCGUCAAUUUUAAUGGGGCAAUGGCGAAACCUCUAAGGCUGUUGAAAUGUUGAAACCACUUAAACAAACUCAUAAUGUUGGACCUGUACUGUUCAAUUGUAUCUUUAUUAUCUGCAGGUUAUUGUUAAAGUGGACAAAUAAAGAUGGACACUUUUACUCUGUUUCAGUUUUGUUUUGUCCUUAAUCAGCAAU